GGGGAAUGUUAAGGAUUAAUUAAAUCCUAAUAAUCAAUGCUUAGGUCGGUUGUUUAGUUUAGCAACCGCCAGUUACCGACUAUGUAAUUACCGCCUCUGUACAUGGGUAUAAAUACCCUAUUCUUCAGUCAAUACAAUCACUCAUUUGUUCCCCUCUCUCUCGUUUUACUUUUACACGUUAUCAGCACUCGGCUCUACCGAGAGCGAGAAGGCCACAAAAGCAUAGGAGACGCCUCUGUUCUAGCCCUGCAGCGCGGUGGCCACCAGCGGGCGCGCGACACCGCAGCCCUCGUCCGGCGGCGCGGUCACCCGCACAUAAGCACCACACGAGGCGCCCUCUGGUGCAUGGGGCGUCCUCCGGCGCGGGGUGAUGCGGCCUCGCUCCUCCCGGUGGCGCAGACACCAUCAGCGGGACCCUUCCAGUCGGCGGCGGCGGCAGCCAACGAGUCAAGCACGAACGCCUUAAACGGCGUCAGCACAGCGACUGCCUGAACGAGCAUCGGGAAAUCAAUCAGGAAACACUAAUUCCGUUUAAUUUUAGUUCUUCCCUUGAUCUGAACAUCAACUGCUUUUCUGCACAUAGUAUGUGGAUAUGGUGAGAUGAAUAGAUGGCUGAAGCAUCAACCGGAAGAGAUCAUUGACCAAGGAAGAAAAGCUUCAAUCAAGAAAGAACCAUCCGGUCAGCAAGAACAACAAAAAGAACGAAGAACAAGAGAAAACAUACAAGGAAAAUCUCUUCGAUUUAGUGAUGCAAAGAGCAAAAAGGUACCAUACGUACUUCAGUUUUUCUUGCACUGGAUCAAGCGAUCUGCAACAUCGCUAGCGGUUCCCGCGUCCAUGCGCCUCGCUGCUCAUCCACGGGAUGCAAUGGCUAGAGCACACACGGCGACGCGGAUGACUGGCUGGGGCUGGAAGAGGCACUGCGGCAACGCGACGGCAGCGCCCUCAGGCGCACGCGCAUGGCGCAACGCGCCCUCAUCCGGGGCUUCCUCCGUCACAAGGCGAAAGGGCGGCGUCCAUCCAACCACGGCGACGCUCCCCGGCGACUCUCCCUCACCUGAGGCAUACUUCUCCGGCGGCAGCGGUUAAUCCCUGACCGCACAAGAGAAAUUGGGGAUUCUUAUCCUCUCGGCCAUCUUGCAGUUGAAUCCCAGUGGACGUAUUUAUUUACAUAUAAGUCCCUGGGCUUCUUUAGUCAGGCUAAGUUCAGUCUUUAACCCUCUAAGUAGUCUGGUUGAUACUCCAUUCUACGCCCAUAAUUUAAGUAUGAAGCAUGCAGGUCUUCACAUAUUGC
Molecule: ribosomal RNA, 1294 nt
Filed under: Triticum aestivum (bread wheat)
Lineage: Eukaryota; Viridiplantae; Streptophyta; Magnoliopsida; Poales; Poaceae
Description: partial small subunit ribosomal RNA
Source: RNAcentral